UCCUAAUCCAACACUCUAACCACUAUGCUAUGCUGGCUCGUGGCAUGCACAAUGGGCCCCUACAUGGUCGAGUCAUGACCCAGGCCAUGCAGGGGCCCAUUGCGCAUGUGCAGCAGCCUCCAAAAUGGCUAUGUGAGGGAGAAAGGUCCAGAAAGGGCCGAAGAACACACAAACCGGGCAAUUUUUGCCAUGAGGAAGUCUGGCGAGGGGAGGGGGAACCUCCAUGGACCACCAGCCUCAGAGAAGCCCUCUGGAAGGGAAUCCUUACACUAAUGAAAGCAAUAAUACAGACAUAUGCUGACAUGCAUUGCUCCCAAGGUGCCUUCUGAAGCAGCCAGGGGAUCCAAAGGAAGAACAGACAAGGUAUUUCAGUUUAUAUUCCCAGCUCAUCUAUUUCAAACAAAGAAAGAAAACCUUCAGAAGAUAUACUUUGGUUCUGAAGGCAUAGAAUAAAACAUAGCAGCAGCAAAUCUGAGACUCAGCAUUAAAGAAUGUGUACCCCCCACCCCUUGGAACAAUCUACAAUAGGAUAUACUCGACACUGAGAAGAUUUCCAAUAAAUCUGAGAAGGCAAAAGAGGUAGAAGAGGUCAGUGAAGCAUGUGGAGUUAUAAAAUGACCUCACAACACUCAGAAAGGAGAUCACCUCAGUGUUUAUUUUUAGAAGACAACAUUGUUCCUCGUUGAACUGUGAUGGUGUGUGUGGAGCAUUUUCCCUUGUUAAAUAUUGAUAAUAAAAAUGAUCCUUGAUUCAGUAAA
Molecule: long non-coding RNA, 758 nt
Organism: Hemicordylus capensis (graceful crag lizard)
Lineage: Eukaryota; Metazoa; Chordata; Lepidosauria; Squamata; Cordylidae
Exons: 2
Source: RefSeq, a predicted model, not a curated record